Molecule: ribosomal RNA, 429 nt
Filed under: Chloroflexota bacterium
Lineage: Bacteria; Bacillati; Chloroflexota
Description: Chloroflexi bacterium partial 16S ribosomal RNA
Rfam family: Bacterial small subunit ribosomal RNA
Source: RNAcentral
UGGGGAAUAUUGCACAAUGGGCGCAAGCCUGAUGCAGCCAUGCCGCGUGUGUGAAGAAGGCCUUCGGGUUGUAAAGCACUUUCAGCGGGGAGGAAGGGAGUAAAGUUAAAACCUUUGCUCAUUGACGUUACCCGCAGAAGAAGCACCGGCUAACUCCGUGCCAGCAGCCGCGGUAAUACGGAGGGUGCAAGCGUUAAUCGGAAUUACUGGGCGUAAAGCGCACGCAGGCGGUUUGUUAAGUCAGAUGUGAAAUCCCCGGGCUCAACCUGUGAACUGCUUCUGAUACUGGCAAGCUUGAGUCUCGUAGAGGGGGGUAGAAUUCCAGGUGUAGCGGUGAAAUGCGUAGAGAUCUGGAGGAAUACCGGUGGCGAAGGCGGCCCCCUGGACGAAGACUGACGCUCAGGUGCGAAAGCGUGGGGAGCAAACAGG